AGGGUUUUGAUGGGCCUUGGUAUCGCUAUUUCUUCAGAUUUGUCUUGCUUUUCUCCUACAUUAUCCCACUAAGGUAGGCUUAUAUAGUUGUGAACUCUUCCAAAGCCAAAAGACCAAACACAACUGUGUGUUUCUCAAUCAGUAACAAUUUGUUUUGUGUCAUUUUCCGAUAUUUAGCUUGCGUGUAAGUCUUGACAUGGGGAAAGUAGUGUAUUCGUGGAUGAUAACACGUGACUCAGAGAUGCCUGGCACGGUGGUGCGCAGUAGUACAAUACCAGAAGAACUGGGGAGAGUGGCCUAUCUACUGACCGAUAAAACUGGAACGCUUACUCAAAAUGAAAUGGUAUGUUGUAGUUCUUUUUAAUAGUUUACAUCGGAUUUCAAUAUUACGCG
Molecule: non-coding RNA, 393 nt
Organism: Paramuricea clavata
Lineage: Eukaryota; Metazoa; Cnidaria; Anthozoa; Malacalcyonacea; Plexauridae
Source: the annotation of a GenBank genome assembly